RNAcentral lists this ribosomal RNA (448 nucleotides) under uncultured bacterium. Its description in RNAcentral is "bacterial SSU rRNA". It matches the Rfam family "Bacterial small subunit ribosomal RNA", at positions 355 to 825 of the family's 1533-position model. The record is from RNAcentral.
UGGGGAAUAUUGGACAAUGGGCGCAAGCCUGAUCCAGCCAUGCCGCGUGAGUGAUGAAGGCCCUAGGGUUGUAAAGCUCUUUCACCGGUGAAGAUAAUGACGGUAACCGGAGAAGAAGCCCCGGCUAACUUCGUGCCAGCAGCCGCGGUAAUACGAAGGGGGCUAGCGUUGUUCGGAUUUACUGGGCGUAAAGCGCACGUAGGCGGACUAUUAAGUCAGGGGUGAAAUCCCGGGGCUCAACCCCGGGAACUGCCUUUGAUACUGGUAGUCUUGAGUUCGAGAGAGGUGAGUGGAAUUCCGAGUGUAGAGGUGAAAUUCGUAGAUAUUCGGAGGAACACCAGUGGCGAAGGCGGCUCACUGGCUCGAUACUGACGCUGAGGUGCGAAAGCGUGGGGAGCAAACAGGAUUAGAUACCCCUGUAGUCCCUGAGCGGGCUGGCAAGGCGCAU